GCUAAGAGCUCCGGUUGUAGCUGCUGGAGCUUGAAGUUAGCUACGGAUGCUUGUAGCAGCUGCUAAGAGCUCCGGUUGUAGCUGCUGGAGCUUGAAGUUAGCUACGGAUGCUUGUAGCAGCUGCUAAGAGCUCCGGUUGUAGUUGCUGGAGCUUGAAGUUAGCUACGGAAGUUUGUAGUAGCUGCUACGAGUGUAGGCCGUAGCGAACCUCCAGCCCAGUGCUGCCGUGGGAAAAAAAUCAGCGGCACAGUACUAACGGGAGGACACGCGAGCGGGGGUGGGGGGGAAGAGCGUGGAGAGCACAACACUCACGAACCUAACUUCCAGCUGCAGCUGCUGCUAUGGCCGCUCGUUCAAGAUACCGGAGCAAGCACAUCGGUUCACGGUGCUAGGCUACAUCACGUAGCAUGCCAGACGGACCCACCAAAGAUGCGCAAACAUGGAACGCAGCUUUCUAUGAAAACACUGCGACCUCACUACAAAAGUACAGGCACACAGAAAACUGUGCUGCACUGAUGUCGGUGUUGGGACCUCAGCUGUAAGAGACCUUGCUUGGAGGAGGGAGAGGACAAGAUGUGACAUUACAUGGAUAACCUGUUGGACCUCAUCUUUCACAAGGUUUUUCAGGACCCGGCCCCAUAUGUGAAUGAGGUGCUGAAGAUCUCAAAACCUGAGGAUCUCUCUGCCUAGUAUGAGAAACCUGACAAGCAGGAAGUUAUAGCCAGCUAUGUGUCGAGUUUCAAUCAAGGGCAGGUCUGAACCCUGUAUAACUUCCCUGAGCAUCAGGGAACACUCUGCGUAUCUGGAGCACCGAGCAGGAGGGCAGGACCACCCUGAUUCUCCGGCCCAGAGGGCCUCAACACCAGCUCACAAAGCUUCUGUACGCCAAAUCCCUCGAACGGCUGAGCAAAGUUCACAUUGUAUUUAGAGAAUAAAAGGUGACACACAAAUAUAAAGUGUUCCUUUGUUUACAGUAUAGCUACUGAUGGCACAACUUGUAUUUUUGCAAUGAAUGUAUUUAUAAUACUUGGUAUUUUUUGUAUUUAUUACCUCUGUCCCAGCCAGUACAUUUAAUAACUAUGAUUAAAAAGCUCUGUGGCAAUCUUUCUAGCAAUCUUUCUGACAAUAAAAGUUUAUAGAAACAGUUG
Platichthys flesus (European flounder) is the source of this 1148-nucleotide long non-coding RNA. RefSeq lists it as uncharacterized. The transcript is spliced from 4 exons. NCBI's taxonomy places the organism in Eukaryota, Metazoa, Chordata, Actinopteri, Pleuronectiformes, Pleuronectidae. The record is from RefSeq and is a predicted model, not a curated record.